This 253-nucleotide ribosomal RNA is filed under the name uncultured bacterium. RNAcentral's name for it is "partial 16S ribosomal RNA". It matches the Rfam family "Bacterial small subunit ribosomal RNA", at positions 524 to 776 of the family's 1533-position model. The record is from RNAcentral.
UACGUAGGAGGCAAGCGUUGUCCGGAAUUACUGGGUGUAAAGCGCGUGUAGGUGGUGGGCCAAGUCUGUGGUGAAAUCGCCCGGCUCAACUGGGCGGGGUCCGUGGAAACUGGUCGACUGGAGGACGGUAGAGGCGAGUGGAAUUCCCGGUGUAGUGGUGAAAUGCGUAGAGAUGUGGAGGAACACCGAUGGCGAAGGCAGCCCCCUGGGCUAACACUGACGCUCAUGCACGAAAGCGUGGGGAGCAAACAGG